AUUGAACGCUGGCGGCAGGCCUAACACAUGCCAGUCGAGCGGAUGAAGGGAGCUUGCUCCUGGAUUCAGCGGCGGACGGGUGAGUAAUGCCUAGGAAUCUGCCUGGUAGUGGGGGAUAACGUCCGGAAACGGGCGCUAAUACCGCAUACGUCCUGAGGGAGAAAGUGGGGGAUCUUCGGACCUCACGCUAUCAGAUGAGCCUAGGUCGGAUUAGCUAGUUGGUGGGGUAAAGGCCUACCAAGGCGACGAUCCGUAACUGGCCUGAGAGGAUGAUCAGCCACACUGGAACUGAGACACGGUCCAGACUCCUACGGGAGGCAGCAGUGGGGAAUAUUGGACAAUGGGCGAAAGCCUGAUCCAGCCAUGCCGCGUGUGUGAAGAAGGUCUUCGGAUUGUAAAGCACUUUAAGUUGGGAGGAAGGGCAGUAAGUUAAUACCUUGCUGUUUUGACGUUACCAACAGAAUAAGCACCGGCUAACUUCGUG
RNAcentral lists this ribosomal RNA (484 nucleotides) under uncultured bacterium. Its description in RNAcentral is "partial 16S ribosomal RNA". It matches the Rfam family "Bacterial small subunit ribosomal RNA", at positions 30 to 507 of the family's 1533-position model. The record is from RNAcentral.